UGAAUACGAGAUGCUACGGCGUCGAAGCAGUGUAUGUCAGACUUCCAAGAAAAGCUCGCAAUGUCAUAAAUAAAGAAUGCCUGUACCAUAACCGACACAGGUGGGUAGGUAGAGUAUACUAAGGGGCGCGAGAUAACUCUCUCUAAGGAACUCGGCAAAAUAACUCCGUAACUUCGGGAGAAGGAGUGCCUUCUUUAAGAAGGUUGCAAUAACAAGAUCCAAGCAACUGUUUAUCAAAAACACAGGUCUCCGCUAAGUCGUAAGACGAUGUAUGGGGGCUGACGCCUGCCCAGUGCCAGAAGGUUAAAGAAGUUGGUUAGCUUUUGCGAAGCUGAUGACUGAAGCCCUGGUGAACGGCAGCCGUAACAAUAACGGUCCUAAGGUAGCGAAAUUCCUUGUCGGGUAAGUUCCGACCCGCACGAAAGGCGUAAUGAUUUGGAUACUGUCUCGGAGAGGGACUCGGUGAAAUAGACUUGUCUGUGAAGAUGCGGACUACCUGCACCAGGACAGAAAGACCCUAUGAAGCUUUACUGUAACUUGAAAUUGAAAUUGGACUUUAUCUGCGCAGUAUAGGUGGAAGGCGUUGAAAGUAAUCUUGCGGGAUUAGUGGAGCCAUCAGUGAGAUACCACUCCUAUAAUGUUAGAUUUCUAACUUUGGAUCAUGAUCUGGUCAAAGAACAGUUUCAGGCGGGCAGUUUGACUGGGGCGGUCGCCUCCCAAAAGGUAACGGAGGCGUACAAAGGUUUCCUCUGAACGGGUAGAAAUCGUAUCUAGAGUGUAAAGGCAUAAGGAAGCUUGACUGUGAGACCUACAAGUCGAGCAGGGACGAAAGUCGGUCUUAGUGAUCUGACGGUGCUGAGUGGAAAGGCCGUCACUCAACGGAUAAAAGUUACUCUAGGAUAACAGGCUGAUCUCCCCCAAGAGUUCACAUCGACGGGGAGGUUUGGCACCUCGAUGUCGGCUCAUCGCAUCCUGGGGCGGUAGUACGUCCCAAGGGUUGGGCUGUUCGCCCAUGGAAGCGGUACGCGAGCUGGGUUCAGAACGUCGUGAGACAGUUCGGUCCAUAUCCGGUGUAGGCGUUAGAAUAUUGAGAGGAGCCUUCUUUAGUACGAGAGGACCGAGAAGGACAUACCUCUGGUGUACCAGUUAUCGUGCCAAUGGUAAACGCUGGGUAGCUAUGUAUGGAGAGGAUAACCGCUGAAAGCAUCUAAGUGGGAAGCCCACCUCAAGAUGAGUAUUCUC
Molecule: ribosomal RNA, 1242 nt
Filed under: metagenome
Description: bacterial LSU rRNA
Rfam family: Bacterial large subunit ribosomal RNA
Source: RNAcentral